UUUUCAGUUCCUGUUCAAGUUAGAGCCCCAUACUUCAUGUUUCUGACUUGAUGAGGGAUUUUUCGUUUUGAGCUCAGAGCCAAGAGUGAAGCUCUCAGUGGAAUGUUAUAGUCAUCUCCACCCCUGGACCCUGGCCUAGAAUUCUGGUUCCUUUGCAACGGACCAACUUUCAACACACUAGAUGUUUGGGAAAUUUUGUAUAUGUGUGUGUUAAAAAAUAUACAUCUUUCAAUCCUCAUUCAUUUGGGAGAAGAAUUUCACAAGUAUUAACAACUCAAGAAAGCAAGUCAUCCUGUAAAAAUGAUUUAGCAGAAUAAUUAGCUAACUUGACAGAAACUAAAUGACCAUCCAAAAAAUAACUGGGGACCAACCAUGCAGAAGAUUACAUUCUUAUGGAAAAUGUUGUCUUUUCUGCUUAAUCAUAAAGACUCAGUUUGUUCCAACUCUUUCCCAUAAAUACAAGAUGGAGAUUACCUCUUUCAAAUGGUCUUGCCUAGUGUCUUAACUAGCAUGUAAGAUUCUUUGGUUUUUUGAGAAAUUCUGGGGGUGUUCUGGAACCUAGAUAUUCAACUGAAUGUCUA
This 581-nucleotide long non-coding RNA is filed under the name Bos taurus (domestic cattle). RNAcentral describes it as "long non-coding RNA NONBTAT016665". Lineage: Eukaryota; Metazoa; Chordata; Mammalia; Artiodactyla; Bovidae. The record is from RNAcentral.